Molecule: transfer RNA, 86 nt
Filed under: Fusobacteriaceae bacterium
Lineage: Bacteria; Fusobacteriati; Fusobacteriota; Fusobacteriia; Fusobacteriales; Fusobacteriaceae
Description: tRNA-Leu
Rfam family: tRNA
About the family: Transfer RNA (tRNA) molecules are approximately 80 nucleotides in length. Their secondary structure includes four short double-helical elements and three loops (D, anti-codon, and T loops).
Source: RNAcentral
GCCUGGGUGGCGGAAUGGUAGACGCGGCGGACUCAAAAUCCGCUUCCUUCAGUGGAGUAAGGGUUCGAGUCCCUUCUCAGGCACCA